UGGGGAAUAUUGCACAAUGGGCGAAAGCCUGAUGCAGCAACGCCGCGUGAGUGAUGAAGGCCUUCGGGUUGUAAAGCUCUGUCUUUUGGGACGAUAAUGACGGUACCAAAGGAGGAAGCCACGGCUAACUACGUGCCAGCAGCCGCGGUAAUACGUAGGUGGCAAGCGUUGUCCGGAUUUACUGGGCGUAAAGGAUGCGUAGGCGGAUUUUUUAAGUGAGAUGUGAAAACCCUAAGCUUAACUUGGGGACUGCAUUUCAUACUGGAAAUCUAGAGUGCGGGAGAGGAGAAUGGAAUUCCUAGUGUAGCGGUGAAAUGCGUAGAGAUUAGGAAGAACACCAGUGGCGAAGGCGAUUCUCUGGACCGUAACUGACGCUGAGGCAUGAAAGCGUGGGUAGCAAACAGGAUUAGAUACCCUGGUAGUCCACGCCGUAAACGAUGAGUACUAGGUGUAGGAGGUAUCGACCCCUUCUGUGCCGCAGUUAACACAAUAAGUACUCCGCCUGGGGAAGUACGAUCGCAAGAUUAAAACUCAAAUGAAUUGACGGGGG
This 550-nucleotide ribosomal RNA is filed under the name uncultured bacterium. RNAcentral's name for it is "partial 16S ribosomal RNA". It matches the Rfam family "Bacterial small subunit ribosomal RNA", at positions 355 to 919 of the family's 1533-position model. The record is from RNAcentral.